Molecule: non-coding RNA, 220 nt
Filed under: Ochrobactrum sp.
Lineage: Bacteria; Pseudomonadati; Pseudomonadota; Alphaproteobacteria; Hyphomicrobiales; Brucellaceae
Source: RNAcentral
ACGCUCGAAACAGGAAACGGUUUCGCUGUAAAAGGCGGAUGAAAAGGGAACGCGGUGAGGCCAUCUGGCCAAUUCUGCGACUGCCCCCGCAACUGUAACCGGAGAGCUAUCUUCCAUAAUCGCUGAGGCGAUUAAGCCACUGAGUGCAGACGCAUUCGGGAAGGCGGAAGAACAGCGGCGACCCGGAAGUCAGGAGACCUGCCGUGUCCGGUCACCUAGU